GGGGGUGUGGCUCAGUGGUAGAGCUCCUACCUCGAAUUCAUGAGGCCCUGGGUUCAAUCUCCAGCACUUCAG
RNAcentral lists this transfer RNA (72 nucleotides) under Mesocricetus auratus (golden hamster). It matches the Rfam family "tRNA". Rfam says of the family: Transfer RNA (tRNA) molecules are approximately 80 nucleotides in length. Their secondary structure includes four short double-helical elements and three loops (D, anti-codon, and T loops). Lineage: Eukaryota; Metazoa; Chordata; Mammalia; Rodentia; Cricetidae. The record is from Rfam by way of RNAcentral.